UAGCACCCAAAGCAACACUUAGCCCAUUACCAAUCGUCUUGGAAAGAUAUUGCAACCAUCAUGGUUCAUGUCCAAGUGUUUGGGUAGUCCGAAAUAGCUUGGUUGAGAAGUUUGGUCUUCGAGCGAGUCAUUUGUCUUCUUGGUUCGGCCAACGCUUCCUCCACUACAUGCUGCUCCUCGGCUCCAAGUUGUUCCUCGGCUAUAAGCUGCUCCGCUGGUUCAAGUUUCGGGUGGUGCUCGGGAAUAGUCAUAUCAUGCUCCCCCUCUUCA
RNAcentral lists this small RNA (270 nucleotides) under Arabidopsis thaliana (thale cress). Its description in RNAcentral is "ATSL040660". Lineage: Eukaryota; Viridiplantae; Streptophyta; Magnoliopsida; Brassicales; Brassicaceae. The record is from RNAcentral.